This 757-nucleotide ribosomal RNA is filed under the name Stenotrophomonas rhizophila. Its description in RNAcentral is "bacterial SSU rRNA". It matches the Rfam family "Bacterial small subunit ribosomal RNA", at positions 34 to 778 of the family's 1533-position model. The record is from RNAcentral. Lineage: Bacteria; Pseudomonadati; Pseudomonadota; Gammaproteobacteria; Lysobacterales; Lysobacteraceae.
CGCUGGCGGUAGGCCUAACACAUGCAAGUCGAACGGCAGCACAGUAAGAGCUUGCUCUUAUGGGUGGCGAGUGGCGGACGGGUGAGGAAUACAUCGGAAUCUACCUUUUCGUGGGGGAUAACGUAGGGAAACUUACGCUAAUACCGCAUACGACCUUCGGGUGAAAGCAGGGGACCUUCGGGCCUUGCGCGGAUAGAUGAGCCGAUGUCGGAUUAGCUAGUUGGCGGGGUAAAGGCCCACCAAGGCGACGAUCCGUAGCUGGUCUGAGAGGAUGAUCAGCCACACUGGAACUGAGACACGGUCCAGACUCCUACGGGAGGCAGCAGUGGGGAAUAUUGGACAAUGGGCGCAAGCCUGAUCCAGCCAUACCGCGUGGGUGAAGAAGGCCUUCGGGUUGUAAAGCCCUUUUGUUGGGAAAGAAAAGCAGUCGAUUAAUACUCGGUUGUUCUGACGGUACCCAAAGAAUAAGCACCGGCUAACUUCGUGCCAGCAGCCGCGGUAAUACGAAGGGUGCAAGCGUUACUCGGAAUUACUGGGCGUAAAGCGUGCGUAGGUGGUUGUUUAAGUCUGUUGUGAAAGCCCUGGGCUCAACCUGGGAAUUGCAGUGGAUACUGGGCGACUAGAGUGUGGUAGAGGGUAGUGGAAUUCCCGGUGUAGCAGUGAAAUGCGUAGAGAUCGGGAGGAACAUCCAUGGCGAAGGCAGCUACCUGGACCAACACUGACACUGAGGCACGAAAGCGUGGGGAGCAAACAGGAU